GAUGAACGCUGGCGGCGUGCCUAAUACAUGCAAGUCGAGCGAACAGACGAGGAGCUUGCUCCUCUGACGUUAGCGGCGGACGGGUGAGUAACACGUGGAUAACCUACCUAUAAGACUGGGAUAACUUCGGGAAACCGGAGCUAAUACCGGAUAAUAUAUUGAACCGCAUGGUUCAAUAGUGAAAGACGGUUUUGCUGUCACUUAUAGAUGGAUCCGCGCCGCAUUAGCUAGUUGGUAAGGUAACGGCUUACCAAGGCAACGAUGCGUAGCCGACCUGAGAGGGUGAUCGGCCACACUGGAACUGAGACACGGUCCAGACUCCUACGGGAGGCAGCAGUAGGGAAUCUUCCGCAAUGGGCGAAAGCCUGACGGAGCAACGCCGCGUGAGUGAUGAAGGUCUUCGGAUCGUAAAACUCUGUUAUUAGGGAAGAACAAUUGUGUAAGUAACUAUGCACGUCUUGACGGUACCUAAUCAGAAAGCCACGGCUAACUACGUG
RNAcentral lists this ribosomal RNA (497 nucleotides) under uncultured bacterium. Its description in RNAcentral is "partial 16S ribosomal RNA". It matches the Rfam family "Bacterial small subunit ribosomal RNA", at positions 28 to 507 of the family's 1533-position model. The record is from RNAcentral.